CCUACGGGAGGCAGCAGUAGGGAAUCUUCCACAAUGGGCGAAAGCCUGAUGGAGCAACGCCGCGUGAGCGAAGAAGGUCUUCGGAUCGUAAAGCUCUGUUGUAAGGGAAGAACAAGUGCAGUAGUAACUGGCUGCACCUUGACGGUACCUUACUAGAAAGCCACGGCUAACUACGUGCCAGCAGCCGCGGUAAUACGUAGGUGGCAAGCGUUGUCCGGAAUUAUUGGGCGU
RNAcentral lists this ribosomal RNA (231 nucleotides) under uncultured bacterium. Its description in RNAcentral is "partial 16S ribosomal RNA". It matches the Rfam family "Bacterial small subunit ribosomal RNA", at positions 338 to 561 of the family's 1533-position model. The record is from RNAcentral.